GACGAACGCUGGCGGCGUGCCUAAUACAUGCAAGUCGAACGCUUCUUUCCUCCCGAGUGCUUGCACUCGAUUGGAAAGAGGAGUGGCGGACGGGUGAGUAACACGUGGGUAACCUACCCAUCAGAGGGGGAUAACACUUGGAAACAGGUGCUAAUACCGCAUAACAGUUUAUGCCGCAUGGCAUAAGAGUGAAAGGCGCUUUCGGGUGUCGCUGAUGGAUGGACCCGCGGUGCAUUAGCUAGUUGGUGAGGUAACGGCUCACCAAGGCCACGAUGCAUAGCCGACCUGGGGGGGUGAUCGGCCACACUGGGACUGAGACACGGCCCAGACGCCUACGGGAGGCAGCAGUAGGGAAUCUUCGGCAAUGGACGAAAGUCUGACCGAGCAACGUCGCGUGAGUGAAGAAGGUUUUCGGAUCGUAAAACUCUGUUGCUAGAGAAGAACAAGGACGUUAGUAACUGAACGUCCCCUGACGGUAUCUAACCAGAAAGCCACGGCUAACUACGUGCCAGCCGCCGCCGUAA
This 524-nucleotide ribosomal RNA is filed under the name uncultured bacterium. Its description in RNAcentral is "partial 16S ribosomal RNA". It matches the Rfam family "Bacterial small subunit ribosomal RNA", at positions 28 to 523 of the family's 1533-position model. The record is from RNAcentral.